GAUGAACGCUGGCGGCGUGCCUAAUACAUGCAAGUAGAACGCUGAAGGAGGAGCUUGCUCUUCUGGAUGAGUUGCGAACGGGUGAGUAACGCGUAGGUAACCUGCCUGGUAGCGGGGGAUAACUAUUGGAAACGAUAGCUAAUACCGCAUGACAACAGUUAUUGCAUGAUAACUGUUUAAAAGUGGCAACUGCUCCACUACCAGAUGGACCUGCGUUGUAUUAGCUAGUUGGUGAGGUAACGGCUCACCAAGGCGACGAUACAUAGCCGACCUGAGAGGGGGAUCGGCCACACUGGGACGGAGACACGGCCCAGACUCCUAGGGGAGGCAGCAGGAGGGAAUCGGCGGCAAGGGGCGGAAGACUGACCGAGAAGCGCCGAGGGAGUGAAGAAGGUUGUCGGAUCGUAAAGCUCGGUUGUAAGAGAAGAACGAGUGUGAGAGUGGAAAGUUCACACUGUGACGGUAACUGAUCAGAAAGGGACGGCUAACUACGUG
RNAcentral lists this ribosomal RNA (495 nucleotides) under uncultured bacterium. RNAcentral's name for it is "partial 16S ribosomal RNA". It matches the Rfam family "Bacterial small subunit ribosomal RNA", at positions 28 to 507 of the family's 1533-position model. The record is from RNAcentral.